AGAGUUUGAUCCUGGCUCAGGAUGAACGCUAGCGGCAGGCUUAACACAUGCAAGUCGAGGGGCAGCACGAGGUAGCAAUACUUUGGUGGCGACCGGCGCACGGGUGCGUAACGCGUAUGCAACCUACCUAUAACAGGGGGAUAAUCUGGGGAAACUCGGUCUAAUACCCCAUAGUAUUGGAGAAUCGCAUGGUUUUCCAAUUAAAGUUUUAAUGGUUAUAGAUGGGCAUGCGUGACAUUAGCUAGUUGGUAAGGUAACGGCUUACCAAGGCGACGAUGUCUAGGGGAACUGAGAGGUUAAUCCCCCACACUGGUACUGAGACACGGACCAGACUCCUACGGGAGGCAGCAGUGAGGAAUAUUGGUCAAUGGGCGCAAGCCUGAACCAGCCAUGCCGCGUGCAGGAAGACGGUCCUAUGGAUUGUAAACUGCUUUUAUACGGGAGCAAUAAGUCUUUUGCGAAGGACGAUGAGAGUACCGUACGAAUAAGGAUCGGCUAACUCCGUGCCAGCAGCCGCGGUAAUACGGAGGAUCCAAGCGUUAUCCGGAUUCAUUGGGUUUAAAGGGUGCGUAGGCGGACUGAAAAGUCAGUGGUGAAAAGUUUAGGCUCAACCUAGACCCUGCCAUUGAUACUAUCAGACUAGAGUACAAACGGAGUGUGCGGAAUAUGUCAUGUAGCGGUGAAAUGCAUAGAUAUGACAUAGAACACCGAUCGCGAAGGCAGCUCACUAGGAUGUUACUGACGCUGAGGCACGAAAGCGUGGGGAUCAAACAGGAUUAGAUACCCUGGUAGUCCACGCUGUAAACGAUGAUAACUCGUUGUCGGCGAUACACAGUCGGUGACUAAGCGAAAGCGAUAAGUUAUCCACCUGGGGAGUACGAUCGCAAGGUUGAAACUCAAAGGAAUUGACGGGGGCCCGCACAAGCGGAGGAGUAUGUGGUUUAAUUCGAUGAUACGCGAGGAACCUUACCUAGACUUGAACGUAAUAGGAAUAUUUAAGAAAUUAGAUAGCCAGCAAUGGCCUUUUACGAGGUGCUGCAUGGUUGUCGUCAGCUCGUGCCGUGAGGUGUCAGGUUAAGUCCUAUAACGAGCGCAACCCUUGCACAUAGUUGCCAGCAUGUAAAGAUGGGGACUCUAUGUGGACUGCCGGCGCAAGCCGCGAGGAAGGUGGGGAUGACGUCAAAUCAGCACGGCCCUUACGUCUAGGGCGACACACGUGCUAAUGGCCGGUACAGAGGGCAGCUACACAGCGAUGUGAUGCGAAUCUCAAAAGCCGGUCUCAGUUCGGAUCGGAGUCUGCAACUCGACUCCGUGAAGUCGGAUUCGCUAGUAAUCGCGCAUCAGCCAUGGCGCGGUGAAUACGUUCCCGGGCCUUGUACACACCGCCCGUCAAGCCAUGAAAGUUUGGGGUACCUGAAGUACGUAACCGCAAGGAGCGUCCUAGGGUAAAACAAGUAAUUGGGGCUAAGUCGUAACAAGGUAACC
Molecule: ribosomal RNA, 1485 nt
Filed under: uncultured bacterium
Lineage: Bacteria
Description: bacterial SSU rRNA
Rfam family: Bacterial small subunit ribosomal RNA
Source: RNAcentral